AUGCAGUCGAGCGGUAGCACGAGAGAGCUUGCUCUCUGGGUGACGAGCGGCGGACGGGUGAGUAAUGUCUGGGAAACUGCCUGAUGGAGGGGGAUAACUACUGGAAACGGUAGCUAAUACCGCAUAACGUCUACGGACCAAAGUGGGGGACCUUCGGGCCUCACGCCAUCAGAUGUGCCCAGAUGGGAUUAGCUAGUAGGUGGGGUAAUGGCUCACCUAGGCGACGAUCCCUAGCUGGUCUGAGAGGAUGACCAGCCACACUGGAACUGAGACACGGUCCAGACUCCUACGGGAGGCAGCAGUGGGGAAUAUUGCACAAUGGGCGCAAGCCUGAUGCAGCCAUGCCGCGUGUGUGAAGAAGGCCUUAGGGUUGUAAAGCACUUUCAGCGAGGAGGAAGGGUUCAGUGUUAAUAGCACUGUUCAUUGACGUUACUCGCAGAAGAAGCACCGGCUAACUCCGUGCCAGCAGCCGCGGUAAUACGGAGGGUGCAAGCGUUAAUCGGAAUUACUGGGCGUAAAGCGCACGCAGGCGGUUUGUUAAGUCAGAUGUGAAAUCCCCGCGCUUAACGUGGGAACUGCAUUUGAAACUGGCAAGCUAGAGUCUUGUAGAGGGGGGUAGAAUUCCAGGUGUAGCGGUGAAAUGCGUAGAGAUCUGGAGGAAUACCGGUGGCGAAGGCGGCCCCCUGGACAAAGACUGACGCUCA
RNAcentral lists this ribosomal RNA (704 nucleotides) under uncultured bacterium. RNAcentral describes it as "bacterial SSU rRNA". It matches the Rfam family "Bacterial small subunit ribosomal RNA", at positions 55 to 749 of the family's 1533-position model. The record is from RNAcentral.